UCUCGUUAUCAAUCUCUAUUCUCGGUAGAUGAUGUUGUCAUCAUAGAGCAGCAGAAUAUGUUGACUUAAUCAUUUUCGUUAGAUUACUCGAAGAAAUACAAAAACGAAAUUUGAAACAGGAAGUUUUGAAUGAAAAGAAGUUAUCGAUGGUUCCCGGUAACGGACAUGAACAAAAUCCGGAAAUCGUAUUUUUGUUAAAUAAAAAAAAUCGGGGCGGA
RNAcentral lists this long non-coding RNA (218 nucleotides) under Mytilus galloprovincialis (Mediterranean mussel). The record is from RNAcentral. Lineage: Eukaryota; Metazoa; Mollusca; Bivalvia; Mytilida; Mytilidae.